Molecule: long non-coding RNA, 824 nt
Filed under: Capsicum annuum
Lineage: Eukaryota; Viridiplantae; Streptophyta; Magnoliopsida; Solanales; Solanaceae
Description: long non-coding RNA (CANN_LNC020775)
Source: RNAcentral
CAGUCGAAACAAAAUGCAAGCAAAAGCAUACCAGAUAACCACGAAAAGCAGUCUAAACUUUGACUACGGCUACUUUCUCUUGUGAUUUGCCAGAAAAUUGGAUCAUCAUAUUUAAAGAGGGUAAGUUGGACGAUCGUGUAUAAUACCAUAAUGACCAAGGAAGCAAAAGCAAAAGAAAAAAGGAAAUAAACAGGGUUCUUCACUCCAAAAAGACUUCAAAAGAGCAUAACUUAUUAACAUACAAUACCAUAACAAUCGCUUGAUACUUUCUAAUAUGGUACAACCCAUUGGUACAGUCCAAUAAUAUGCAACAUAUUAGUUAUAACUGAGUUUAUAUCUAGCUUCAGUACCAAAUACCAACUGAGUUUGAUAUGUCAAAAUGAAAUGCAACUACUAUUCUUUCUCUUAAGUCAUGGUAUGAUGUUCUAUUUCAAGAAGCCGUAGAGUGGCUUCUCUUUCACUAACUACCAAAUUCCCAGCUACACUGCCUCUUCCUUUUCCCUUUUGCUUUUUCUUUUCCUUUACCAAUUCCACUAGGGCACUUCUACUAUACUUAUACACAACAAAUACAAAUGUCUUAGAACUAUUACGCCCCAAGUUUAAAGUCUUAGACAAACAAAGAAAGAGAGAAAAAAUGAGUACGCCGGCGUUGCACCCUGUUGAGGCUCCACCGGUGACUAAUGUUGAGGCCUGGAAGACAUAUGCAGUACUUAUAGAUGUUUAUGUGCCUCAACAGAGCAUGACAAUAAAACACUCAAUAGUUAUUGAAUCCAUCCAUCCAUCCAUCUAAUGUUGGUCAGAGUUGUGAUACUGGCUCUUCCAAA